UGGGGAAUAUUGCACAAUGGGCGCAAGCCUGAUGCAGCCAUGCCGCGUGUAUGAAGAAGGCCUUCGGGUUGUAAAGUACUUUCAGCGGGGAGGAAGGGAGUAAAGUUAAUACCUUUGCUCAUUGACGUUACCCGCAGAAGAAGCACCGGCUAACUCCGUGCCAGCAGCCGCGGUAAUACGGAGGGUGCAAGCGUUAAUCGGAAUUACUGGGCGUAAAGCGCACGCAGGCGGUCUGUCAAGUCGGAUGGGAAAUCCCCGGGCUCAACCUGGGAACUGCAUUCUAAACUGGCAGGCUAGAGUCUUGUAGAGGGGGGUAGAAUUCCAGGUGUAGCGGUGAAAUGCGUAGAGAUCUGGAGGAAUACCGGUAGCGAAGGCGGCCCCCUAGACGAAGACUGACGCUCAGGUGCGAAAGCGUAGGGAGCAAACAGG
This 429-nucleotide ribosomal RNA is filed under the name Chloroflexota bacterium. RNAcentral's name for it is "Chloroflexi bacterium partial 16S ribosomal RNA". It matches the Rfam family "Bacterial small subunit ribosomal RNA", at positions 355 to 776 of the family's 1533-position model. The record is from RNAcentral. Lineage: Bacteria; Bacillati; Chloroflexota.